Molecule: long non-coding RNA, 3746 nt
Organism: Fukomys damarensis (Damara mole-rat)
Lineage: Eukaryota; Metazoa; Chordata; Mammalia; Rodentia; Bathyergidae
Source: Ensembl
AUGGUCAGUAAUGAAAGUUGCAGCCCGGUGGGCCAUUGAGAAAGACGGAGUGCCCAGUGACCAUUAUCCUUGCAAGGAUAGAGAAUGAGCAAAACAGCCAUAGAGUUGGAAGUUACUCCAAUCACUUAAAUUACUUACUGCCUUGAGAGUCUUUUAAAUGGAGGGAGAAGGCUGGGAGGGAGGAGACAGGGAAGUGAGAAGAGGUGUUGCAUUCAUGCACCCACGCCCCGCGAGGAAGGCAGUCAUGUACACGCACACACUCGCUAAUAAAACACAAGCCCGUUUAAAGAGGAAAUACCUCAUAAUGGAAAGAAAGAAGAUCCCCCGCAGGGUGGGGAUGGGCAGCACAGUGCAGCUCUCUGGGAUUCAGAAUCCAGCUGCUGGAAAACAACAACUUACUGAAGCAAAGAAUAGAAGCAGAGCACCAGGAACUGGAGAGGAACUGACAGAAAAAAUUAGAAGCUACAGAGAAGCUGGAAAGACACCCCAAGGAAGUGACCUGAUUCUCCCCUCAGAGCUUGUGUUGGGGGGAACCAGCCCGCCCCAAACAAGGCAGCUGCUCUUUCCAGUGAUUGUUUCGGCUUGGACAACCGGACCGUGGGAUUCUUUUCUUCCUUUUGCCACUAAAUGCCUGCGCACAGCCCGAGUUCUGGUGCAGGGAGAAGGGUGGAGCUUUUUGCCUGAGGAUGGCCGUUUCCCUUGGCAGGAUGAGGGCAGAGUGCGUGACGUCUCCACCACCGGGGUCGCAGUACAAGACAGCUGUGAAGAGGAGAGCGGCCUCAGAUCUGGGCCCUGCUUACCCAGCACCUGUGCAGACCAGAGCUGCUCAAGGGCCCAUCUGGGACGCCGUGAGAAGCUUGUGCUGCAGGCCAGAUCAAUACUCUGCGGCUUUCAUGGAGCAAAUCUAGCUAUGAAAAAAGUAAGAGGCAGCUGAGCUAAGCAGCGAACUCACCGGUACAGUCACUGUUCUGUCACUGGGACGCAUCUGAUGCCUACAAGUCGAAGGAGGAGAGGUUUACUUUCGCUCGGUUUCAGAGGGCUCCGUCCAAGCGUAGUUUCUCUGCUCCAAGACGGGAAGCUGUGAUGGUGGAAAAGCUGCCCAGCCCAGGGCCACCAGAAGGAGGAGGGAUGGAGGGGAGUGAGGGGAGCCUCGUCAAGGGGUCCUCCUCGGUCCGUGGCAGGAAUGAGUGGUUUCAAAGUUGACGAGGUUCUCGGGGAAAUGUUCUACUGUUUAACUUGAGAGGAAAAGGGGAGAGAGAGGGGAAGGCAGGGAGGAGGACGGGGGUUGGGGAGAGAGGGGAGGAGGAGGGUAGAGAACGAUGAGAACCCUCCGAGGUCGGCCCCAGGGGUUGCCCUGCAAUCCCGCCUCUUAAGAGUACUCUGCUGCCGGACUCACAGGAAUGAACGCCCACAGCGCAGUCACCCUCCAGACACACGAGCUCAUUCAGGCCCAGGCUGUAACAGUUGACCCUCGUCACGGCCCCAGCUCCUAUUCUGUCAUUUCUGGAUAACGAUUCCUCAGUCUGAGGGUUGUGCUUUGAGGUGCCCUCCUUCCACAGUUAGUUCUGCUUGCCCCGGGCAGUAGGUGCAAAUGUGUGUGUUCAGGGGCAGGUAGAUCACUUAGAGUGAGCAGGAAGGUAAAUCAAAGAGCACGAUGAAGACCUAAACUGAGGUGGUGCUGUUGCUGCGCAGAACAAUAGAUUCCAGAAAUACCAAGUGUACCAGCGGGGUGUGGAGAACGGAGGAUGAAAGAUGCGUCUUGUUCACUGACUGAGUGUCUGGGUAGACGGUAGUGCUGUCAGCUGAAGAAAAGCUCAUGGGAGGAGGGACAAGGGGACUUAGUGGAGAGUUUACAGAAUUAUACAGUGGUGCUGUGCAUGUGCAGUGGGCGAGUGACAGGUGGAUGGCUAGGCGGUGAACUGGACUGUCCAGGUCUGGCAGUCUGUACGUGAGGGCAGUGGUUACAGGAACCAUAGAAGGACCUAACCACACUCACAGGAGGGGCAGUGGUCAAGACAAACCCUGGAGGCAAACAAGAUCUCCUUGAUGGAUCUGGCGGUCCGGGAGAGGGAUGUUCCUGGGAGUGCAGUGGUCAAGGAGGCUUCUGAAACUCUGAGCUAACAAAAUCUUCAGAAGGUGCAGAAAGAUAUCAAUUAAAUUGCCUCCCAGGAAUCAUUAAUUUGGAUCCCUUUGAAGAAAGCAGGAACAUAGGAGUGGUGGAGGCCAUAGCACUGGAGAAGUAAGUAAAACUCAGAGUCUCAGACCAUGCAGUGAGCUGGGAAGCCCCCUUCUCUUUGAGUCCUAAUACUACUCUGAGAGACGGGAAGCCAGUUGAGGGAUACUCUGUGAUGCUUUCAGCUCUCACAGUCCAUAAUGACACACACCAUUUGAGUACCUACUAAGUGGAAGGCACAUCAUUUUCAUGAGUUUUCUGCAAAGUACUGGCACCCCAUUUUCCCGAGGCCAAGAAAGUUUAAGUAUCAUGCCAAGGUUCACAUAGCCAAUGAAUUUCUGAGCUGAGAAUUAAAAACUAAGUUUGACAACAAAACCCACAUUCAUUUUCUUAUGCUGUGCUGUACAGUGGUGUUAAGAAGAGACAAGGCAUGAGACAGAAUGUGAAUUGAAUUUUGGUAGUACAUCAUUUAUAAGAGCCAUCUUUGCUAUGUUUUCAUAGGCAGUCUCCUUUAAUAAAAACCAGAAUGUUCCUUUUGAGGAACAUAAACAAAAUUUAGUGUGAGGCCUUUGAACUACUCUACUAUUAGGUGUAUAAAAAAGACCAAGUUGAUCAGCAAGUGACAAGGAAAGAGGGAAUUUUACAUAGAUAGAAACAAAAUCAAUACUUGCAUAAGAGUUUAUAGAAGUAAUGCAUUCUUCUGUUAAACAUCUCUGAAGAUUAGUAGUCAAUAGGUGUAGAAACUCUUGGGGCAUCUUUCUUGUUCACAGGAGGUAUAGGUGAUAUCUGAAGCCACUUAUCUGAUAUCAUAAGAGAAGAGCUCAUGCUUUCUCAGGGGGUCCUCCUUGGAGUAUGUGGUAGGAAUGAUUGGUUUCAAAAUUGGCCAGCUUCUCGGGGGAAAUGUUCUACUUCUUACCCAGAGAGAAAGAGAGAAAUGUUUAGAGUAUAUAGCAUUUUAAAGAGCCAGUCAUAGUACUGGGCUUUGGAUAACUGGGUAAGUAGGUUUAACCAAGGAUUCAGAAACUUUCUGAUAUGGCUAAGUGUCCAUUUUGUGAUGGCUUGUACCUAGAUAUCCCCCUGCCCAAAGCCUCAUGUGCUCAUAGAUGGAGCUUUUCAGAGGUGGUUGGAUCUAGGGUGUGUGAAUAUAGAUUAAAGGUGUGUGGUUAUGGAUUAAGGGCGUGCUAACUAAAUUAGUCCACUAGCUGGUUUAGUAUACUUCUGGUAUGGAUAAUGGGAAGACCUACUCUGGGUAUGGCACCAAACAAAAGCCUUGCAGCCUGGAUGAGAUAAAAGGGAAAAGGCUCAAUGCUGCUGCCUCCUGCCUACUCUGCCAGAGACUGUUCCUCCUCUGUGAGGCCCCCUACCAUGUUGCCCUGCCUUGGAGCCAGCCAACCCUGGGCUGAAAUAUCUAUGAACUGUGAGCGAAAAAUAAACCUUUCCUCCUUUAACUUGUGGGUAUUGAUUAUUUCAACUAUGCAAUGAGAAAAUGAACUAAAACACCAUUCUACAUGUUUUUUUCUGGUGUAUAUACCCUCGCCCCAGCAGCCUUGCAACUGCUUCUUAUGUUCCCAAA